Molecule: long non-coding RNA, 119 nt
Organism: Aricia agestis (brown argus)
Lineage: Eukaryota; Metazoa; Arthropoda; Insecta; Lepidoptera; Lycaenidae
Exons: 3
Source: RefSeq, a predicted model, not a curated record
CCGUAGAUUAUUCCCGCUCUGCCGACGCGAACGUCCCGCUUUGCAGACGCUCCCGCUUCGCAGUCGCUUUGGUCGCGUAGGUUAGGCGGAAGCUUAACUGUGAAAUUCUGUCAUGUAAG